Non-coding RNA from Pelobates cultripes (western spadefoot toad), 122 nucleotides. The record is from the annotation of a GenBank genome assembly. NCBI's taxonomy places the organism in Eukaryota, Metazoa, Chordata, Amphibia, Anura, Pelobatidae.
UUGCUCACUUUAAGACUUUCUAUUUUUAAAGUGACCAAUAUAGGGGGGUAUACUAAAUGCUCCAUAAAACUCAAAGUACAGGUUUAUGUUUUGUGCUUUGAAUCCUGUCUGGAGCUAUAUUU